RNAcentral lists this unclassified non-coding RNA (384 nucleotides) under uncultured bacterium. Its description in RNAcentral is "contains 16S-23S intergenic spacer region". The record is from RNAcentral.
UCCGGCUUACACCGGCGGUCUCCUAUGAGUUCCCGACUUUCUCGCUGGCAACAUAGGACGAGGGUUGCGCUCGUUUACGGACUUAACCGCACACCUCACGACACGAGCUGACGACAGCCAUGCAGCACCUGUAUGAAAGUCAGUACCAUCCCGUUAAGGACUGGUUUCUCAGAGGUUUCUCCUGCAUGUCAAGCCUAGGUAAGGUUCUUCGCGUUGCGUCGAAUUAAACCACAUGCUCCACCGCUUGUGCGGGCCCCCGUCAAUUCCUUUGAGUUUCAGCCUUGCGGCCGUACUCCCCAGGCGGGGCACUUAAUGCGUUAGCUGCGACACUCAGGGGGUCGCUCCCCCAAGCAUCUAGUGCCCAUCGUUUACGGCGUGGACUAC